Molecule: long non-coding RNA, 439 nt
Organism: Neopelma chrysocephalum (saffron-crested tyrant-manakin)
Lineage: Eukaryota; Metazoa; Chordata; Aves; Passeriformes; Pipridae
Exons: 3
Source: RefSeq, a predicted model, not a curated record
GGGAGACAGAAGACAUUGUGAAAGCUGCAGAGAGACUCAGUAUCUACAAAAGGAUUUGGACACUUGUUAAAUUAGAUGAGGAAAUCACACCCAUACAAAAAGGAUUGCUGAAGGGAACUUCCCCAGCAGAAAACAGUUCUGUACAGACAGUGCAAUAUGUUCUCCAUCUACACACCAGAGAAGUUUUACACCCACUCCUCAAAACAGCUUUCACUCCAGAAGAGGCAAAAACUGUGCUUCUGUACUUUCCAGUUUUCUUUGCUUCAACAAAAGAACUCACUCUUAUCACUUCAGCCUUUUCCUCAGAGAUGCAACUGAUAUUUUCUGGUUUAUAGAAUUCUAACAACAUAGAAAUGUCAUCAGAAACCUGCUCUUACAGCUUACUAACUUUUAUAAGAUUUUGGAGAAGCUUUAUUUUCACAUCUAUUUUUGCAUUUGU